CCUACGGGUGGCAGCAGUGAGGAAUAUUGGUCACUGGGCGCGAGCCUGAACCAGCCAAGUCGCGUGAAGGAUGAAUGCUCUAUGGAUCGUAAACCUCUUUUAUAAGGGAAUAAAGUGUGGGACGUGUCCCUUUUUGUAUGUACUUUACGAAUAAGGAUCGGCUAACUCCGUGCCAGCAGCCGCGGUAAUACGGAGGAUCCGAGCGUUAUCCGGAUUUUUUGGGUUUAAAGGGAGCGUAGAUGGGCUGUUAAGUCAGUUGUGAACGUUUGUGGCUCAACCGUAAAAUUGCAGUUGAUACUGGGAGCCUUGAGUAUAUUUGAGGCAGGCGGAAUGCGUGGUGUAGCGGUGAAAUGCUGAGAUAUCACGCAGAACUCCGAUUGCGAAGGCAGCCUACCAAGC
Molecule: ribosomal RNA, 399 nt
Filed under: uncultured bacterium
Lineage: Bacteria
Description: partial 16S ribosomal RNA
Rfam family: Bacterial small subunit ribosomal RNA
Source: RNAcentral